This is a long non-coding RNA of Oncorhynchus tshawytscha (Chinook salmon), 1135 nucleotides long. NCBI's taxonomy places the organism in Eukaryota, Metazoa, Chordata, Actinopteri, Salmoniformes, Salmonidae. The record is from Ensembl.
CAACAUUGAAGUGUAUUAACAUAGAACUCUAGAAGGCUUUAUAGAUACUCAUGAUAACAUCAGUCUGUGUUGUCUCUCCUUCAGGAUCAUAAUAUCACAAAGAACUGGAUUACCCUGGUGGAUAAGAAACUGAGCUGCACCAUCCUGUCCCUGACUGAGGCAGACAGUCAAACCUUCCACAUCACCAUGGAGCUGGCUAUCGAUCAACUGGACCUGGUCCAUCACAUGGUGGUCUAUGGCUGCAAAUUGUCUGUAAACCAGACCUAUGAGCAGAAAUGCCACAUGGGAGAACCAGCUGAUGAAUACAUCUGUGUAGUCUGCCUGUGGUGUAGGAGGGGUGACAGACUGCCCCCUUCUGGAGACUUUAAUACAUACACACAUGCAUGCACAAAUUAACACCCACACACACAUUAGUCUGCACUCUGUCUCUUCAUUAUCGAUUUGUCUUCUCUGGCUUUUUAGCUUCUAGAAAACACUGGCAUCCCUAUUGGAGGACAGGAUAAUGAUGAAUUCUACAAGCUGGAAAUUCACUACAACACGGUCCAAGAAGCAGAUAACAUUUUACUAGCUACAAGCUAGUAUAACCAUUUUCCAAACUACUGAUAAUGGAUCAACAGGCUUUCCAUGCUCCAAUCUUAAUUAUUGUGUGUGACAUGCAAAUUGUGUGUAGGCAAUCAGGACCAGAGAUAGUGAAAUAUAGGACACAACCGGCAUCAGCUGUGGAUUUGGAAACUAGAGGUGUAAUAUGUAUGUUCAAUAUGCAUAUCAGAGUCAGAAUCUGACUGGUUUUCCACAGAUAAAUGACCACAAAAUUCACAGCAACAUGUAAACCAGAGGAGGCUGGUGGGAGGAGCUAUAUGAGGACGUGUUCAUUGCAAUGGCUGGAAUGGAAUCAAUAGCAUGGUAUCAAACACAUGGAAACAACGUGUUUGACUCCAUUCCAGCCUCCCCUGGUGUAAACUCUGUGGAUUUGGAAACUGGAGGUGCUCCUGAGAAGAAUGGGUCCUCGUUUACUGUGACACAAUGUACAGGAAAUUGUGUACAGUGCAAUAUGAAUGACAGAACGUUGUGUGCAGUGUAAUACAAAUGGGCUAAAUAACAAAAAAAUGUAGAUGUGCUUUCUAAAGUUGAAUAU